AGCGUACACGGUGGAUGCCCUGGCAGUCAGAGGCGAUGAAGGACGUGCUAAUCUGCGAUAAGCGUCGGUAAGGUGAUAUGAACCGUUAUAACCGGCGAUUUCCGAAUGGGGAAACCCAGUGUGAUUCGUCACACUAUCAUUAACUGAAUCCAUAGGUUAAUGAGGCGAACCGGGGGAACUGAAACAUCUAAGUACCCCGAGGAAAAGAAAUCAACCGAGAUUCCCCCAGUAGCGGCGAGCGAACGGGGAGCAGCCCAGAGCCUGAAUCAGUGUGUGUGUUAGUGGAAGCGUCUGGAAAGGCGCGCGAUACAGGGUGACAGCCCCGUACACAAAAAUGCACAUGCUGUGAGCUCGAUGAGUAGGGCGGGACACGUGGUAUCCUGUCUGAAUAUGGGGGGACCAUCCUCCAAGGCUAAAUACUCCUGACUGACCGAUAGUGAACCAGUACCGUGAGGGAAAGGCGAAAAGAACCCCGGCGAGGGGAGUGAAAAAGAACCUGAAACCGUGUACGUACAAGCAGUGGGAGCCUCUUUAUGGGGUGACUGCGUACCUUUUGUAUAAUGGGUCAGCGACUUAUAUUCUGUAGCAAGGUUAACCGAAUAGGGGAGCCGAAGGGAAACCGAGUCUUAACUGGGCGUUAAGUUGCAGGGUAUAGACCCGAAACCCGGUGAUCUAGCCAUGGGCAGGUUGAAGGUUGGGUAACACUAACUGGAGGACCGAACCGACUAAUGUUGAAAAAUUAGCGGAUGACUUGUGGCUGGGGGUGAAAGGCCAAUCAAACCGGGAGAUAGCUGGUUCUCCCCGAAAGCUAUUUAGGUAGCGCCUCGUGAAUUCAUCUCCGGGGGUAGAGCACUGUUUCGGCAAGGGGGUCAUCCCGACUUACCAACCCGAUGCAAACUGCGAAUACCGGAGAAUGUUAUCACGGGAGACACACGGCGGGUGCUAACGUCCGUCGUGAAGAGGGAAACAACCCAGACCGCCAGCUAAGGUCCCAAAGUCAUGGUUAAGUGGGAAACGAUGUGGGAAGGCCCAGACAGCCAGGAUGUUGGCUUAGAAGCAGCCAUCAUUUAAAGAAAGCGUAAUAGCUCACUGGUCGAGUCGGCCUGCGCGGAAGAUGUAACGGGGCUAAACCAUGCACCGAAGCUGCGGCAGCGACGCUUAUGCGUUGUUGGGUAGGGGAGCGUUCUGUAAGCCUGCGAAGGUGUACUGUGAGGUAUGCUGGAGGUAUCAGAAGUGCGAAUGCUGACAUAAGUAACGAUAAAGCGGGUGAAAAGCCCGCUCGCCGGAAGACCAAGGGUUCCUGUCCAACGUUAAUCGGGGCAGGGUGAGUCGACCCCUAAGGCGAGGCCGAAAGGCGUAGUCGAUGGGAAACAGGUUAAUAUUCCUGUACUUGGUGUUACUGCGAAGGGGGGACGGAGAAGGCUAUGUUGGCCGGGCGACGGUUGUCCCGGUUUAAGCGUGUAGGCUGGUUUUCCAGGCAAAUCCGGAAAAUCAAGGCUGAGGCGUGAUGACGAGGCACUACGGUGCUGAAGCAACAAAUGCCCUGCUUCCAGGAAAAGCCUCUAAGCAUCAGGUAACAUCAAAUCGUACCCCAAACCGACACAGGUGGUCAGGUAGAGAAUACCAAGGCGCUUGAGAGAACUCGGGUGAAGGAACUAGGCAAAAUGGUGCCGUAACUUCGGGAGAAGGCACGCUGAUAUGUAGGUGAAGUCCCUCGCGGAUGGAGCUGAAAUCAGUCGAAGAUACCAGCUGGCUGCAACUGUUUAUUAAAAACACAGCACUGUGCAAACACGAAAGUGGACGUAUACGGUGUGACGCCUGCCCGGUGCCGGAAGGUUAAUUGAUGGGGUUAGCGGUAACGCGAAGCUCUUGAUCGAAGCCCCGGUAAACGGCGGCCGUAACUAUAACGGUCCUAAGGUAGCGAAAUUCCUUGUCGGGUAAGUUCCGACCUGCACGAAUGGCGUAAUGAUGGCCAGGCUGUCUCCACCCGAGACUCAGUGAAAUUGAACUCGCUGUGAAGAUGCAGUGUACCCGCGGCAAGACGGAAAGACCCCGUGAACCUUUACUAUAGCUUGACACUGAACAUUGAGCCUUGAUGUGUAGGAUAGGUGGGAGGCUUUGAAGUGUGGACGCCAGUCUGCAUGGAGCCGACCUUGAAAUACCACCCUUUAAUGUUUGAUGUUCUAACGUUGGCCCCUAAUCGGGGUUGCGGACAGUGUCUGGUGGGUAGUUUGACUGGGGCGGUCUCCUCCUAAAGAGUAACGGAGGAGCACGAAGGUUGGCUAAUCCUGGUCGGACAUCAGGAGGUUAGUGCAAUGGCAUAAGCCAGCUUGACUGCGAGCGUGACGGCGCGAGCAGGUGCGAAAGCAGGUCAUAGUGAUCCGGUGGUUCUGAAUGGAAGGGCCAUCGCUCAACGGAUAAAAGGUACUCCGGGGAUAACAGGCUGAUACCGCCCAAGAGUUCAUAUCGACGGCGGUGUUUGGCACCUCGAUGUCGGCUCAUCACAUCCUGGGGCUGAAGUAGGUCCCAAGGGUAUGGCUGUUCGCCAUUUAAAGUGGUACGCGAGCUGGGUUUAGAACGUCGUGAGACAGUUCGGUCCCUAUCUGCCGUGGGCGCUGGAGAACUGAGGGGGGCUGCUCCUAGUACGAGAGGACCGGAGUGGACGCAUCACUGGUGUUCGGGUUGUCAUGCCAAUGGCACUGCCCGGUAGCUAAAUGCGGAAGAGAUAAGUGCUGAAAGCAUCUAAGCACGAAACUUGCCCCGAGAUGAGUUCU
RNAcentral lists this ribosomal RNA (2774 nucleotides) under metagenome. RNAcentral's name for it is "bacterial LSU rRNA". It matches the Rfam family "Bacterial large subunit ribosomal RNA". The record is from RNAcentral.